This 349-nucleotide ribosomal RNA is filed under the name Ehrlichia canis. RNAcentral describes it as "bacterial SSU rRNA". It matches the Rfam family "Bacterial small subunit ribosomal RNA", at positions 93 to 459 of the family's 1533-position model. The record is from RNAcentral. Lineage: Bacteria; Pseudomonadati; Pseudomonadota; Alphaproteobacteria; Rickettsiales; Anaplasmataceae.
UAGUGGCAGACGGGUGAGUAAUGCGUAGGAAUCUACCUAGUAGUACGGAAUAGCCAUUAGAAAUGGUGGGUAAUACUGUAUAAUCCCCGAGGGGGAAAGAUUUAUCGCUAUUAGAUGAGCCUACGUUAGAUUAGCUAGUUGGUGAGGUAAUGGCUUACCAAGGCUAUGAUCUAUAGCUGGUCUGAGAGGACGAUCAGCCACACUGGAACUGAGAUACGGUCCAGACUCCUACGGGAGGCAGCAGUGGGGAAUAUUGGACAAUGGGCGAAAGCCUGAUCCAGCUAUGCCGCGUGAGUGAAGAAGGCCUUCGGGUUGUAAAACUCUUUCAAUAGGGAAGAUAAUGCCGGGU